AAAGCGUGCGCAGGCGGUUAUACAAGACAGGCGUGAAAUCCCCGGGCUUAACCUGGGAAUGGCGCCUGUGACUGUAUAGCUAGAGUGUGUCAGAGGGGGGUAGAAUUCCACGUGUAGCAGUGAAAUGCGUAGAUAUGUGGAGGAAUACCAAUGGCGAAGGCAGCCCCCUGGGAUAACACUGACGCUCAUGCACGAAAGCGUGGGGAGCAAACAGGAUUAGAUACCCCUGU
This 230-nucleotide ribosomal RNA is filed under the name uncultured bacterium. Its description in RNAcentral is "partial 16S ribosomal RNA". It matches the Rfam family "Bacterial small subunit ribosomal RNA", at positions 562 to 791 of the family's 1533-position model. The record is from RNAcentral.